Molecule: RNA transcript, 2032 nt
Organism: Glycine soja
Lineage: Eukaryota; Viridiplantae; Streptophyta; Magnoliopsida; Fabales; Fabaceae
Gene name: beta-hexosaminidase 1-like
Exons: 16
Source: RefSeq, a predicted model, not a curated record
GAUUCUUACAUUAUCUUACCUGGCUAAUGACUAUGGUUGUUACUUACAGCGUCAGAUUCCUCAAUUUUUCUUAACCUUAACUGCUCCAGUAAUCAUGUUUAAUACAUUCACGUUCUCUUUUAGUGCUUCUAAGCGCUUCAAACCCCAACCAUUCCUCGAAGUCUUCACAGAGCCAUGGGGUUGUUGUGCAUACCAACAUCAUCAAGUGUUGUUCUUCAAACAUUGUUCCUCAUCUGUUGUGCAUUCUUUGUUUCUCAAGCUCUUGGGGCCAGAAUCCCACAACCACAACCCCAUAAGUCUCUUCCGUUCAUUUGGCCUCUGCCUGCAAAAUUCAUCUUCGGCAAUGACUCUCUUUCUGUUGACCCUGCACUUUCUCUCUCUGGCAAUGGUGCUGCCUCUGCCAUUGUUCGAGAUGCUUUUGAUAGAUACAAAGGGAUCCUGUUCAAGCAUGGCGACAGAUUCAGUUUUCUCAGAACACUGAGGCCUGUCUAUGAUGUUACCAAAUUGAGCAUCAAUGUUCAUUCCCACAGUGAGGAGCUUCAACUUGGAGUGGAUGAAAGCUACAAUUUGUUCGUCUCAAGAGCCCAGGCGCUUUCUGGUGCUGGGCAAGUCACAAUUGAGGCAAAUACUGUUUUUGGUGCAUUGCGUGGAUUAGAGACAUUCAGCCAGUUGUGUUCUUUUGAUUAUACAACUAAAACAGUGCAAAUAUACAAGGCACCUUGGUCCAUCCGAGAUAAACCUAGAUUUCCAUACCGUGGGCUUAUGUUGGAUACAUCAAGGCACUAUUUACCAGUUGACGUAAUUAAGCAGAUAAUUGAAUCUAUGUCCUACGCUAAACUUAAUGUUUUACAUUGGCACAUCAUAGACGAGCAGUCAUUUCCUCUUGAAGUACCUACUUAUCCAAAUUUGUGGAAAGGUUCAUACACAGAGUGGGAACGUUACACAGUAGAGGAUGCAUAUGAAAUUGUCAACUUUUCCAAAAUGAGAGGCAUAAAUGUGAUGGCGGAAGUGGACAUCCCUGGUCAUGCGGCAUCAUGGGGGGUUGGAUAUCCCAAUCUUUGGCCAUCACCCUCCUGUAAGGAGCCACUAGAUGUUUCGAAGAAGUUUACUUUUGAUGUCCUUUCUGGUAUUCUAACAGAUAUGAGAAAAAUAUUUCCAUUUGAACUAUUUCACUUGGGUGGUGAUGAAGUGAAUACAGAUUGCUGGAGUAAUACUUCUACAGUGAGUAAAUGGCUUCGGAAUCACAACAUGACUGCUAAAGAUGCCUAUCAAUAUUUUGUACUGAAGGCUCAAAACAUAGCUCUUACAAAAAAUUGGAGUCCAGUAAACUGGGAAGAAACCUUCAAUACUUUUCCAACUAAGCUCCAUCCGCGGACUGUAGUGCAUAACUGGUUGGGCCCUGGGGUUUGUCCAAAGGCUGUUGCAAAAGGUUUCAGGUGUAUUUUCAGUAACCAAGGUGUAUGGUAUCUUAACUAUCUAAAUGUACCUUGGGAUGAUGUCUAUACUGCUGAGCCGCUAGAAGGAAUACGGAAAGCUUCGGAACAAAAACUUGUACUUGGAGGAGAAGUCUGUAUGUGGGGUGAGACAGCUGAUACAUCAGAUAUUCAGCAAACAAUAUGGCCUCGAGCGGCGGCAGCAGCAGAACGCUUGUGGAGUCAGAGAGAUUCUACUUCAGGAAAUGCUAACAUAAUUGCAUUGCGGCGAUUGCAUUACUUCAGAUGUCUCUUGAAUAGACGAGGGGUUCCAGCUGCUCCUGUCAAUAAUUUUAAUGCAAGAACUGCUCCUGUUGGUCCAGGCUCAUGCUUUGAACAAUAAACUUAUCAUGUUUAUCUAGCUUGGGGUUAGUGAACGUUAGAGCUUAGUGAAUUGUGGUGAAUUUACAACAUUCACAUUUGGGAUUGUUCUUGCCCGGGCGUGCCGUUUCACUUGCUGGAAGUCUAAAGUUGAUACGUUAAAAUAGUUAAUAAGCAUAAAUAUGAAUUCUUUCAAAAUGCAUGCAUUAAUUCCCCAUUUAAUAUUGCAGCAGCCAACC